Molecule: ribosomal RNA, 3870 nt
Filed under: Triticum aestivum (bread wheat)
Lineage: Eukaryota; Viridiplantae; Streptophyta; Magnoliopsida; Poales; Poaceae
Description: partial small subunit ribosomal RNA
Source: RNAcentral
AUGCGCAGGAUGCACCUUGGCUGUGUCCCGGACCACCACCUCCUCGCUCUUCACCUCUGGUCCACGGACGGCCUCAACGCCAAGGAGUUCGCGCUGCUCCGCUCCAUCGUGGCCGCGCGCGCGCCCAGCAGGCUGCUUGUGGUCGGCCUCUCGCCGCAGCUCCUCGCGCUCGCCGCGGUCAACUCCGGGCAGGGCGCUGCCACCGCCUCCGACAGCGCCGAGGACGCGCGGGGCGUGCUCGUUGGGCGUGGCCCCAGCAGCUCGGCGGCCGUCCAUGUUUCAAGGUACCCUGACCCGGCCGGGGAGGCGUGGGCAAUGCUGCGGCGCGCGAGGUCGAGCCCGGUGUGCCGGCGCCCGACGGGGACGGUGCGCAAGUUGGGCUGCCGGCUGGUGCUGACCUCCUUGCCGCGGGAGGUGCUCGACGCGAGGUGGGACGUGGUCGUCGUCGACGGGCCGAGCGGGGCAGGUCCCGGGGAGCCGGGGAGGAUGGGUGCCAUAUACACCACGGCCGCGCGCGUGACGGGGGGCGAAGCGGUGGACGUGACGGUGCACGAGAUGAACCGGACGAAGGGAAGAUCUGACGCCACCGCCAAUAUUCUCCACCCAGCGGCGCCAUGGAUGCCGACCGACGAGCGCCUCAUCGCGGCUGCUGGCCGACGAGGACAGGGGAGCUCAGACAUGAGUCCAGCGAAGUCGAGCGAUGCUGGCGGCGGCGCCCAGCCAUCCACUGGCGAGAUGUGCGGGAGCUCGAACCCUACGAAGGCGACGGCAGAAGAAGAGGAGGAGGAGGACCCGCAGUACUCGGUGGAAUUCAGGGCGGCCAGAUCAUUCGCCGCGGCGGUGAAGGCAAAUCCAGUUGGAAGCCAGCACAUUGCUUCAGCUUUCGGCGGCGUCUAUCUUGAAGAUGAGGUUUGGGAAUUGAGGAUGCAUUUUCAUGACAGAGAUAAUAUUGAAAGGAGUAUGAUGAUGUCAGACAUCACAUAUUACAAUUUGGUAGCACUUAUGGAGACAGAAGGGUAUGGUUUUAGAGAUUAUAUGUAUUAUGUGAGGGACCCUGGGCUAGGGAUUGAAGGAAUGGAAGAAAUAGAUGAUGAUGAUAAGUUAGAGGAAAUUUUAGACCACAUAGCAGAGCAGAAUAACAAGAUAUUGAAUGUGACAAUAGUUAGGGCCAGUGCAGAGAAAGUUCCCAAUAUAAAUACCAGUGUUAAUGUCAUUGAGAUGCAGACCCCAAUAGAACAAAUUGGAGAGCCCAAACUGUAUCAGAUUGAUGAUGAAGGAGUGUUGUUCAAUGCUGAAAAUGUGCAUGUAGAAGCUGAGAGUUGUGAUGCAGGAGGAGAACAAGAGCCAAUGCCCUUGCAGUUUGACACACAGCAGAGCAGAAUAAAUGUGAGCCUGGAACCUGCUUUAGGUGAUGCAGUAGUGGAAGAAUACCAUGUGACUGACAAUUCAGAGGAGCAACUGUUAAUAGAGCAAGAAAUAGAGGAGAAAAGGAGAAAUGAAAUUGAAAUUUUUAGGAAGAAGAAGAAGGAAAGAGCGAAGAAGACUUGUUUGAACAGGAAAGCAGCAGUGAUGGACAAUAAAGAGGAUAGUGAUGAUGAUGAUCUGGUAGAAUAUGGUGAUAUCUUAGCUAGGCUUGAGGAGAUGAAAAGACAGAGGAAUGACCCAGAACUUCAUUUUGAAGGGGACACAGAUGUUGAGGAAAUGUGUGACUCAGAGGUGGAUGAUGAGCUGUAUGUGCCACAAGGUGAAGAAGAGGAUGUAGAGGAGGAAGAGGAGGAGGAAAUGGAGGAAGAGGAACAAGAGGAUGAGCUAGGGCAAGAUGUACCAAACAAGAGAAGGGCCAAGAGACAAAGAAAAGGCCCAACAAGCAAUUCACAUGGGAGUAUAGAAGACAUGUUUGAGGAGGACUGGAUUCCAUCAUCUGAUGAGGACAUGAAACCACAAGACCUUGGUGUGGAAGAUGAUGAUGGUGCUGAGGCAUUGGCAUAUGUGUUGCCCAAUGGUAGAAAAAGCAGAGCAAAGAAGAUGAAGAAGAGGUUAUGGUUUGAUGAGCACAGAGCUCAUCCAGAGGAGCAAUUUGUGAAGCAUCUUUGCUUCUUAAAUGUGUACCAGUUUAGAACUGCACUUCAAACCCUGCACAUUGCUCAAAACAGGAACUUUGUCUACCAUAGAAACUGUAGUGAUAGGGUGAUAGCACAUUGCAUAGAUGAGCAAUGUCCCUUCUAUAUAGCAGCUUCUCAGAUUGCAAAUGAGAAGUCAUUUACAAUUAGGAAGUUGUAUUUAGUGCACACAUGCCCUUCUAUGUCAGAGAACACUAAAGUCACUGCUAAGUGGGUUUCAAAAUUCUAUGACGAGGCUAUCAGAAAUGACCCAUGCACAACAAUCACAAGUAUUAUUAAUACUGCAAAGAGCAAGUAUGGUGUGGACAUAUCAACACACAUGGCAUAUAGGGCAAAGAGGGCAGCAAAGGCUGUUGUGUUAGGAGACCAGAAAGCCCAGUACACCAGGAUUAGGGAUUAUUUACAUGCUGUGUUGGAUACAAAUCCAGGUUCAAGAUGCAUUGUGACAACAAGAUAUCUGAAGGAGCAUCCAAGCACUAACCCUAGGUUUCAUGCAUUGUUCAUAUGCUUGAAUGGAUGCAAAGAAGGGUUUCUCAAUGGCUGCAGACCAUUCAUAGGUCUAGAUGGUUGUUUCAUCAAGCUCACUACUGGUCAACAAAUUCUAGCUGCAACUGGAAGAGAUGGGAACAAUAAUAUUUUUCCCAUUGCUUUUGGAAUUGUUGAUAAGGAGGACACUAACUCCUGGACCUGGUUUUUAUACCAGUUGAGACAAGCAUUAGGUGGAGAAUCUGGGAAGUUUGGGAACUACACAAUAAUUUCAGAUAGGCAGAAGGGCCUUUUAAAAGCCAUUACCAGAGUGUUUCCCAAUUGUCCCCAAAGUUUUUGUCUUAGACAUAUCUACCAGAACUUUCAAAAUGCUGGGUUUAGAGGGCCUGAAUUAAAGCAAUACAUGGAUGCAGCUAGUUAUGCAUACACUGAACAUGGUUUUAAAACUGCAAUGGCUGAAUUAAAGAAUGAGAGUGAGGCUGCUUGGGAAUGGCUAAGCAAAAUACCUAAACACACUUGGGCCAGACAUGCAAUGGAUAUGAACUGCAAAACAGACUUAGUUGUUAACAAUCUAAGUGAGGUUUUCAACAAGUGGGUUCUAGAUGUCAGGGCUAAACCAAUUAGGACCAUGGUGGAUGGAAUUAGGACAAAGUUAAUGGUCAAGUUCAAUGCAAAUAGAACAAAGACUGAGACUAGAUGGGAAAUUUGUCCAACAUAUGCUGAGAAAUUAGAGGAAGCAAAGAAGUUUGCAAGGAACUGUCAUGCUUUGAUGGCUGGGCCUAAUAUUUACCAAGUCACUAGUGGGGAGAGAACUUAUGCUGUGAACCUACAACAUAGGACUUGUGGGUGCAAGAAGUGGGAUAUGACAGCAGUUCCUUGCAAUCAUGCUGUUUCUGCCAUACACAAGGCUAAGCUUCAGCCAGAGGACUUUGUUCAUGAUUUCUUCAAAAAAAAGAUGUACCUGGCAGCUUACAGUCCCAUUAUAUAUCCUGUACCUGGACCUGAUAUGUGCCCAAGGACAGACAGUAUGGACAUUGAGGCUCCAGUUUUCAAAGAACACAAGGGAAGGGCACAGACUAAGAGGAGAAAGGGCCAAUAUGAGAAGCCAGCUCCCAAAGACACCUCAAGAAUGGCCUCAAUUACCUGCUCUAAUUGCAAAAAGGUUGGCCAUAGAUACACCAACUAUAAUGUUGCUUUGAAUCCAUCACUGGCAAUGAGAAAGAACAGGCAUGAGGUAACCAAUGUCCUAAUAUUGACUAUUUGA